Molecule: long non-coding RNA, 967 nt
Organism: Cyprinus carpio carpio
Lineage: Eukaryota; Metazoa; Chordata; Actinopteri; Cypriniformes; Cyprinidae
Source: Ensembl
AUUGCCCUGAGGCUAGUUAUGACUUGCAUACUUCAAAACAAAGUGCAGUAGAAGUGUAACGUAUGUAUAAAAGGAAGUGGAAUACGUUAAAAGGAGGUGAAUAGGCUACUUGCGAGUGUAUAAAAGAUCUAUCCAAGACAUCAGUAAAAAAAGCUCUCUUGACAACCUCAAGAUUUACAAUGCCAUUUUUUGAUCAAAGAACACUGAAGCUUUUCUGUGGAUUGUAUUACUUCUUAUUGAUGGUAGAUAUGUUGCAUGUGCCGUAUUUUCACCACAUGCUCCAUGUAACAACACAAUAGAUGUGAAAGAACUUCAAUCCACUUCAGAAUUUUUUCUAUCUAAGCUUGUAGGUUUUUUGCUGUUAUAUUCUGUGCUGCUACUAGCCUUCCUUGUAACAGCUGUUGGACACGUGAAAAAAUGGUGCAACCAGAGGAACAAUGCAAAUACAGCAUUAUACAACAGUAUAAAUCCUGAAAGCACGGGGCAACAGGAAUAAUCCAGAGUAUGGACAGUACCUGAACAAAACAACCAGAAAACCCCGAUUGAAAAAGGCUGUUAAAACCAGAUCAGUUACAGUGUAUGAAAAGUGUUACCUGUAAUAUAGCCUACAGAGAGUAAAAUUAAACACCAUUGAUUUUCAUUGCUUAUGUAUUUGUUGUACUCUAAAAUGAUUUCUUAUAAUUUCAUCAUAAACAGCUGUAUGAAUACAUUGAUGUUGUGUUAAAUGUAUGCAAAUUCAGUUAUACUAUGUGACCAUAUAUUAGAACGGAAACCAUGUUGUAAAUGCUGGGCUGACAUUUUAAGGCAAAUUUUUGUUUCACUUUUUUGCGAUUUAAUGUUUUUUUUUUUUUUUUUUUGUAGAAUCAUUUGUAGAAUCUAACAGCUGUCUAACAGUUACCUAACUGCUUUUCUGAUGUCAAAUUCUGCAUCUGUAAAAACAAUAAAACUACUGACUGCUGAUAAAUAA